AGGACGAACGCUGGCGGCGUGCUUAACACAUGCAAGUCGAGCGGAAAGGCCCUUCGGGUACUCGAGCGGCGAACGGGUGAGUAACACGUGAGUAACCUGCCCCAAACUUUGGGAUAACCCUCGGAAACGGGGGCUAAUACCGAAUAUUACUUCUGGUCGCAUGGCUGGUGGUGGAAAGUUUUUCGGUUUGGGAUGGACUCACGGCCUAUCAGCUUGUUGGUGAGGUAAUGGCUCACCGAGGCGAGGACGGGUAG
RNAcentral lists this ribosomal RNA (254 nucleotides) under uncultured bacterium. RNAcentral describes it as "partial small subunit ribosomal RNA". It matches the Rfam family "Bacterial small subunit ribosomal RNA", at positions 26 to 286 of the family's 1533-position model. The record is from RNAcentral.